Molecule: long non-coding RNA, 2134 nt
Filed under: Paramuricea clavata
Lineage: Eukaryota; Metazoa; Cnidaria; Anthozoa; Malacalcyonacea; Plexauridae
Source: RNAcentral
GCUUGCGGCGCGCGACAAAUGACAAAGGAAUGGGGCGAGCUUAAUGCAAAUUGACAUUUGGAAGCAUUAUUGGUGCAUUCUACACGCCGUUUUGGGCUGCCUAUGAUUUACCAUGAAAAAACGUUUAUAAUAUACAAUUCGAACCUACGACCUUUGGAAUACUAGCCCAAUGCUCUGCCAACUGAGCUACGCGGUCUGGUCGGUUCGAGUAUGUGAUAUUUCGGAACAGAAUCUAGUUCGUUCGAUAUCAAUGUUAUCUAAUAAUAAAAAUAUCACAUACUCGAACCGACCAGACCGCGUAGCUCAGUUGGCAGAGCAUCGGGCUAGUAUUCCAGCCCGGUGUGGAUAGAGUAACAUCACAAGCAUCAUAUUCACCUGAGUACAUUACACCAACACAGAAAAAUCAUGAAUAUACAAUUGUUGACAAAACCCUUCUGGCGGUAAAGCCCAGGGCAAACUAGGAAACAUUGUUUCCUACCAAUGUUUCGCCAUGUUUCCCAGAGUGGGCAAACACUAGGAAACAUUAGUGAGAAACAUAGGGAAACAUCAAAUGUUUCUGAAUUUGGUAGGAAACAUUUUUGCUUCGCAGGAAGCACAUUUCCGCAACAAUGUUUCCAUAUGUGGGCAAACAUGGAAACAUUUGAGAAAACAUCGAGAAUCACAAAUGUUUCCGCAACAAUGUUUCCUAGUUUGCCCAGGGCUUAAGGCACCUGAUACUCUCUUAACGUUAACGAUGUUAUGUUAUGUUAUGUUAUGUUAUGUUAUGUUAUGUUAUGGUAUUGUAUCAUAACUAGAAUGUGCAAUAAACCAGCACUUGUGGUGUCGUGAUCACCACGCUUCCCUUUCAAGCUGCGAGACCCGGGGUUCAACCUUUGGUCGGACCUCUACUCAAGGUCUUAAAAUAAUUGAGAAGAAAGUGCUACCUUUACACAGUGAGCUCCAUAUAUAUCUGGCUAUUCUGAAUCUUACAACAAUAACAACAACAAUAGUUUAUUUACCCUUUUAAGUUUAUAAAUACAAAUUAUACUAAAUAUAUUAUAUGUAAAUUGAACGAAAAUGCGAAGGAUAAUGGCUUCUUGAAAUAACCAUAAAAGCUAAAAAUGCCAAGAAGCCAUUUUCGAUGAUGCAGAUAUUAUAAUAAUAAUUUGGAAUCAUUGAAUUUCAAGUUGCCCGAACAUAUUUUGUCAAUGAUUGAUUGGAUAACUCAGUACAGUAUCUAUAAUAAAGUACGAUACUGUAUAGUACAAAACAGUAUAGUGCAGUAAACAGUCCUUGGAAUGUACUACAUUUUAGAAUUUUGGACCACUCUAUUGCAUUGGGGUUUGCUGUGAAUUGCUGAUAAGACGAGUAUAGCACGUUCACUAUUAGAGGUGUGCAUCGGAUUGGACGUUUAUAAUCCGACAAUUGGCUAAUGUUUAAAAUCCGAUCCGAAAUUGUCUAAUCCGAAUCCAGUCCGAUCCGAGUUUUGAUAAAGAAUUCCGAUCCGAAGAAUUCCUUAAUAAAAUAAAUUUCUCAUUCAAGUUGGAAUAUUUAACCAAAUAAAUAUAAAAGCAAGAAAUACAUGUCAAGAAGCUGACAAAGUGACGUCCAAUUGAAGUAUCAAACGAAUAAUGCAGAGACAACUGCGAUAAUGCUUUCAUAAAUGCAUGGUAAUUAAUUCUUGCGAUAAUGCGUGGAUAAUUAAUUCAUUUUAUUUUGGAUAUCGAAGUCCGAUCCGACUACGAAACAACUUUAUCUAUCCGAUCCGAAAUAAAUAUUUUGGUUCCGAAAUCCGAACGAAUCCGAUCGGAUCGGAUCGGUUUCGGAAAAUGCAACUGAUGUAAAUGUAACAGAACAGUGCAGUUCAGUUCAGUUAUGUAUACUGUACUUUUUUAUGCAUGAUUUAUUUUAGGAAACUUACUAUAAUCUAACAUAAAAUUGCAUCUUAUUUUAAGGGAUUGGAAGCUUCAAUUGCUGGCUUGAAAAUUGUUUGAAGUUCAUAAAUCAAGGACAUAUUAAUCAACGAAUUGAAAAGACGUUAACAGCUUUUACGUCUUAAAUAGUGUUACCUUUACUAUAUUUGAAAUUUUUCAUUAAAAAGCUUUUCUAACUUUCGAGAGUGUAUAUGUAUGCGAUUCUAUAGCUAAUUUUUCUG